UGGUCUUGGGACACUGUCAGGUGGGCAGUUUGACUGGGGCGGUCGCCUCCCAAAAGGUAACGGAGGCGCUCAAAGGUUCUCUCAGUACGGUCGGAAAUCGUACGUAGAGUGUAAAGGCAAAAGAGAGCUUGAUUGCAAGACAUACAGGUCGAGCAAGGAUGAAAAUCGGACUUAGUGAUCCGGUGGUUCUGCGUGGAAGGGCCAUCGCUCAACGGAUAAAAGCUACCCUGGGGAUAACAGGCUUAUCUCCCCCAAGAGUCCACAUCGACGGGGAGGUUUGGCACCUCGAUGUCGGCUCAUCACAUCCUGGGGCUGUAGUAGGUCCCAAGGGUUGGGCUGUUCGCCCAUUAAAGUGGUACGCGAGCUGGGUUCAGAACGUCGUGAGACAGUUCGGUCCCUAUCCGUCGCAGGCGUAGGAAAUUUGAGAAGACCUGUCCUUAGUACGAGAGGACCGGGAUGGACGUACCUCUGGUGUACCAGUUGUUCUGCCAAGGGCAUGGCUGGGUAGCUAUGUACGGAAUGGAUAAGCGCUGAAAGCAUCUAAGCGCGAAGCCAACUUCAAGAUAAGAUUUCCCACCGCAAGGGUAAGACUCCAGAAAGACUAUCUGGUUGAUAGGUCGAAGGUGUAAGUGCAGCAAUGUAUUUAGCUUAUCGAUACUAAUAGGUCGAGGACUUGACCAAUAUU
RNAcentral lists this ribosomal RNA (685 nucleotides) under Clostridioides difficile. RNAcentral's name for it is "partial 23S ribosomal RNA". It matches the Rfam family "Bacterial large subunit ribosomal RNA", at positions 2241 to 2925 of the family's 2925-position model. Lineage: Bacteria; Bacillati; Bacillota; Clostridia; Peptostreptococcales; Peptostreptococcaceae. The record is from RNAcentral.